This 71-nucleotide transfer RNA is filed under the name Rhipicephalus microplus (southern cattle tick). RNAcentral's name for it is "tRNA-Ser". It matches the Rfam family "tRNA". From Rfam's summary of the family: Transfer RNA (tRNA) molecules are approximately 80 nucleotides in length. Their secondary structure includes four short double-helical elements and three loops (D, anti-codon, and T loops). The record is from Rfam by way of RNAcentral. Lineage: Eukaryota; Metazoa; Arthropoda; Arachnida; Ixodida; Ixodidae.
GCCCGGCUAGCUCAGUCGGUAGAGCAUGAGACACUAUCUCAGGGUCGUGGGUUCGAGCCCCGCGUUGGGCG